This 427-nucleotide long non-coding RNA is filed under the name Canis lupus dingo (dingo). RNAcentral describes it as "lncRNA (ENSCAFG00020011771.1)". Lineage: Eukaryota; Metazoa; Chordata; Mammalia; Carnivora; Canidae. The record is from RNAcentral.
AUGCAAGUGUUUAGCAGAUGCUUUACUAUUAAAUUAUCCGCCACCCCCCCCCCCCCCAAGUCUCAAAUCUUGAAGAAUCUCAAACCAGGGACACCAGCCCCGGCGACGACGACCCUGGGCGACUGCAAAGCGCAGGCAACCUCGAUUCCCCGAAUUGGUGGAGUGGCCGGCAUCGGUGUCCCCCUGGUUUCACUGGCCUGUUUGAAGGUGCAGAUCAUUCUCCGGGAAGUACAGCUGAAACCAGUCCUCCUCUGCCCUCUGGGGGCCUUCAUUUUCCCAGCCUACAUCUGCUUGUGACUCCAGAAAGACAGACUUCAGAUUGGCCAAGGUGGGGAUUGACUCCCAGGAGCUGUCCAACAACAGUGGCUAGACUUGGUUCUGGAGUCUCCUAGUUGCAAGAAACAAGACCAUUAGGCCAUGUCCUCAG